GAUGAACGCUGGCGGCGUGCCUAAUACAUGCAAGUCGAGCGAACAGACGAGGAGCUUGCUCCUUAGACGUUAGCGGCGGACGGGUGAGUAACACGUAGGUAACCUACCUAUAAGACUGGGGUAACUUCGGGAAACCGGAGCUAAUACCGGAUAAUAUUUCGAACCGCAUGGUUCGAUAGUGAAAGAUGGCUUUGCUAUCACUUAUAGAUGGACCUGCGCCGUAUUAGCUAGUUGGUAAGGUAACGGCUUACCAACGCAACGAUACGUAGCCGACCUGAGAGGGGGACCGUACACACUGGGACUGAGAGAUGGGCCAGACUCCGACGGGAGGCCGCAGUAGAGAAUCUCCCGAGAUGGGAGAAAGCCUGACGGAGCAACGCCGCGUAGGUGGUGAAGGUCUUCGGGUCGUAAAGCUCUGGUAUUACGGGACGAGAAACGCGUAAGCCACUGUGCACGUCUUGACGGUACCUGAGCAGAAAGCCACGGCUAACUCCGUG
RNAcentral lists this ribosomal RNA (497 nucleotides) under uncultured bacterium. Its description in RNAcentral is "partial 16S ribosomal RNA". It matches the Rfam family "Bacterial small subunit ribosomal RNA", at positions 28 to 507 of the family's 1533-position model. The record is from RNAcentral.